This 426-nucleotide ribosomal RNA is filed under the name uncultured bacterium. RNAcentral describes it as "bacterial SSU rRNA". It matches the Rfam family "Bacterial small subunit ribosomal RNA", at positions 355 to 771 of the family's 1533-position model. The record is from RNAcentral.
UGGGGAAUUUUGGGCAAUGGCCGCAAGGCUGACCCAGCGACGCCGCGUGCGGGAGGACGCCCUUCGGGGUGUAAACCGCUGUCAGGGGGGAAGAAAUCUUUUCUGGAGAAUAUCCAGGGGAAUUGACGGUACCCUCAAAGGAAGCGCCGGCUAACUCCGUGCCAGCAGCCGCGGUAAGACGGAGGGCGCGAGCGUUGUUCGGAAUCACUGGGCGUAAAGCGCGCGCAGGCGGGACUAGCAAGUCGGAAGUGAAAUCUUGGGGCUCAACUCCGAGGCUGCUUCCGAAACUGCGGACCUGGAGACUGGUAGAGGUGGGUGGAAUUCCCGGUGUAGCGGUGGAAUGCGUAGAGAUCGGGAAGAACACCGGUGGCGAAGGCGGCCCACUGGGCCAGUUCUGACGCUGAGGCGCGAAAGCGUGGGGAGCAA